AUGAUUAACAGUACUCGGAGGAGCUCUAUACCCUUUGUGAACAUACCUCAAACUGUUGCCUCGGCGGGCAGGCGGUAGCGAUACCGCCUCCCCGGCGCCGUCCGCGGCGCGCCCGCCGGGGGAUAACCAAACUCUGAUUUAACGACGUUUCUUCUGAGUGGCACAAGCAAAACAAUAAUCAAAACUUUUAACAACGGAUCUCUUGGUUCUGGCAUCGAUGAAGAACGCAGCGAAAUGCGAUAAGUAAUGUGAAUUGCAGAAUUCAGUGAAUCAUCGAAUCUUUGAACGCACAUUGCGCCCGCCAGCAUUCUGGCGGGCAUGCCUGUUCGAGCGUCAUUUCAACCCUCAAGCACUGCUUGGUGUUGGGGCCCUACGGCCGACGUAGCCCCCAAAGACAGUGGCGGACCCUCCCGGAGCCUCCUUUGCGAUAACAUUACCACCUCGCACUGGGAUCCGGAGGGACUCUCCUGCCGGAAAAC
Molecule: ribosomal RNA, 479 nt
Filed under: Colletotrichum sp. FR4
Lineage: Eukaryota; Fungi; Ascomycota; Sordariomycetes; Glomerellales; Glomerellaceae
Description: eukaryotic LSU rRNA
Rfam family: 5.8S ribosomal RNA (bases 183-336)
Source: RNAcentral